UGGCUAGGUUAGUCCCCUGUUAAAUCCACCGAAUUAAUCGUUGGAUUGCGGGGGAUACUGCUUGGCUAGGGGACGAGAGAGGCAGACGGUAUUUCCGGGGUAGGGGUGAAAUCCUAUAAUCCCGGGAAGACCACCAGUGGCGAAGGCUGUCUGCUAGAACGCGCCCGACGGUGAGGGAUGAAAGCUGGGGGAGCGAACCGGAUUAGAUACCCGGGUAGUCCCAGCUGUAAACGAUGCAGACUAGGUGUUUGGACGGCCACGUGCCGUUCUAGUGCCGCAGGGAAGCUGUUAAGUCUGCCGCCUGGGGAGUACGAUCGCAAGAUUGAAACUUAAAGGAAUUGGCGGGGGAGCACCACAAGGGGUGAAGCUUGCGGUUUAAUUGGAGUCAACGCCGGAAAUCUCACCGGGAGCGACAGCAGUAUGAAGGCCAGAUUAAAGGUCUUGCCAGACGAGCUGAGAGGAGGUGCAUGGCCGUCGCCAGUUCGUGCCGUGAGGUGUCCUGUUAAGUCAGGCAACGAUCGAGACCCGCGUCCACUGUUGCAACUAGCUUUGUGCUGGGCACACUGUGGAGACCGCCACUGAUAAAGUGGAGGAAGGAGCGGGCCACGGCAGGUCCGCAUGC
Molecule: ribosomal RNA, 622 nt
Filed under: uncultured archaeon
Lineage: Archaea
Description: bacterial SSU rRNA
Rfam family: Archaeal small subunit ribosomal RNA
Source: RNAcentral